This 69-nucleotide transfer RNA is filed under the name Ranina ranina. RNAcentral describes it as "tRNA-Ser". Lineage: Eukaryota; Metazoa; Arthropoda; Malacostraca; Decapoda; Raninidae. The record is from RNAcentral.
AUGGUUAUUUAGUCUAUAAAAGAUAAGUGUUUUGAAAACACUAGAUAAGAAAAUCAACCUCUUAAUAAC